This 673-nucleotide long non-coding RNA is filed under the name Mytilus galloprovincialis (Mediterranean mussel). The record is from RNAcentral. Lineage: Eukaryota; Metazoa; Mollusca; Bivalvia; Mytilida; Mytilidae.
CCUGCAAAAUCAAACAAAAGGUCGUUUUAAAAAAUAGGGGUGCAUGCACUCGUUUUCAAAUUAAAUCAGUUUGAAUAAUAAAAAUCAGUCGAAAAAUGCAUCUUUUCCCGAUAUGUCACAGUUUGACGUCGCGAAAAUAACAUUUUACGUUAGCAACGUCAUUACCUCCCCUGUAACUAUAUCGUAUGCCCUUAAUUGGCAGGAAAACUAAGAUUUUUUAAGAUAAACAUACGGACAAAAAAGUGUUUUUUUUUUUUUUUUACAAAAUUUACUUCUGGAUACUACCUGUAUCUAAUGAUCAUAAACAAGGUUGUGUCAAAGUAUGGGAGAAAUACAUGAUAGUUUAAGAAAGUUAUCAACAUUUAAAAAUCUUUACUCGCAGAGUGCAUACUUGUGGACGUCUCAACCGCCGACAGCAGAAUGCAUGUUCGAUAUGUUUCUCUCGAAGACUCGACAAAAAUGAAUUAUUAAUGGAGAAUUGUUACACAAAUGCAAAGUAUAAUUUUGUAACGAACACAUGCAUAUGUCUUCACCGAAAAUGACAUUAUUUUUAUGUUCAUGUUUCGAACAAUGCACAAAAAUAAGGAGAUGUAUUAUGAUUGCCAAUGACACAACUGUUCAAGAAAGGCCAAAUCAAAAAGAUAUAAGCGGCAAAUAUAGACAACCACACGAC